Molecule: ribosomal RNA, 253 nt
Filed under: uncultured bacterium
Lineage: Bacteria
Description: partial 16S ribosomal RNA
Rfam family: Bacterial small subunit ribosomal RNA
Source: RNAcentral
UACGUAGGGUGCAAGCGUUGUCCGGAAUUAUUGGGCGUAAAGAGCUCGUAGGCGGUCUGUCGCGUCGGCUGUGAAAACCCGGAGCUCAACUCCGGGCCUGCAGUCGAUACGGGCAAACUAGAGUACUGCAGGGGAGACUGGAAUUCCUGGUGUAGCGGUGAAAUGCGCAGAUAUCAGGAGGAACACCGGUGGCGAAGGCGGGUCUCUGGGCCGUUACUGACGCUGAGGAGCGAAAGCGUGGGGAGCGAACAGG